AGAACGAACGCUGGCGGCAUGCCUAACACAUGCAAGUCGAACGCUUCCGGGGCUUCGGUCGCGGAGGAGUGGCGCACGGGUGAGUAGCGCGUGGGAACCUGCCCUGUUGUGGGGGAUAACCGAGGGAAACUUCGGCUAAUACCGCAUACGCCCCGGGACUUGGUCUUCGGAUUAGGUCUGGGGGGAAAGAUUGAUCGCAGCAGGAGGGGCCCGCGUCGGAUUAGCUGGUUGGUGGGGUAACGGCUCACCAAGGCGAUGAUCCGUAGCUGGUCUGAGAGGAUGAUCAGCCACACUGGGACUGAGACACGGCCCAGACUCCUACGGGAGGCAGCAGUGGGGAAUAUUGGGCAAUGGGGGCAACCCUGAUCCAGCAAUGCCGCGUGAGUGAUGAAGGCCUUAGGGUUGUAAAGCUCUUUCGCCCGCGACGAUGAUGACGGUAGCGGGAGAAGAAGCCCCGGCUAACUUCGUGCCAGCAGCCGCGGU
RNAcentral lists this ribosomal RNA (483 nucleotides) under uncultured bacterium. Its description in RNAcentral is "SSU rRNA". It matches the Rfam family "Bacterial small subunit ribosomal RNA", at positions 26 to 521 of the family's 1533-position model. The record is from RNAcentral.